This 614-nucleotide ribosomal RNA is filed under the name uncultured bacterium. Its description in RNAcentral is "bacterial SSU rRNA". It matches the Rfam family "Bacterial small subunit ribosomal RNA", at positions 338 to 951 of the family's 1533-position model. The record is from RNAcentral.
CCUACGGGAGGCAGCAGUAAGGAAUAUUGGUCAAUGGAGGCAACUCUGAACCAGCCAUGCCGCGUGCAGGAUGACGGCCCUAUGGGUUGUAAACUGCUUUUAUACAAGAGAAAACCCUGGUACGUGUACCAGGUUGAUAGUAUUGUAAGAAUAAGCAUCGGCUAACUUCGUGCCAGCAGCCGCGGUAAGACGAAGGAUGCAAGCGUUAUCCGGAUUCAUUGGGUUUAAAGGGUGCGUAGGCGGACUGAUAAGUCAGUGGUGAAAUCUCUUUGCUUAACAAAGAAACUGCCAUUGAUACUGUCGGUCUAGAGUAUAGAUGACGUUGGCGGAAUAUGACAUGUAGUGGUGAAAUACUUAGAUAUGUCAUAGAACACCGAUUGCGAAGGCAGCUAACGAAACUAUAACUGACGCUGAGGCACGAAAGUGCGGGGAUCAAACAGGAUUAGAUACCCUGGUAGUCCGCACCGUAAACGAUGAUUACUCGUUGUUGGCGAUAUGACAGUCAGCGACCAAGCGAAAGCGAUAGUAAUCCACCUGGGGAGUACGCCGGCAACGGUUGAAACGUCAAAGGAAUUGACGGCGNGAGAGNGCGAGGACGACGACGAGGGAGGAGG